This 182-nucleotide ribosomal RNA is filed under the name uncultured bacterium. RNAcentral describes it as "partial 16S ribosomal RNA". It matches the Rfam family "Bacterial small subunit ribosomal RNA", at positions 1319 to 1500 of the family's 1533-position model. The record is from RNAcentral.
CAUGAAGUUGGAGUUGCUAGUAAUCGCGGAUCAGCAUGCCGCGGUGAAUACGUUCCCGGGCCUUGUACACACCGCCCGUCACACCAUGGGAGUUGGGAGCGCCCGAAGCCGGUGAGGUAACCGAGAGGAGCCAGCCGUCGAAGGUGAGACCAAUGACUGGGGUGAAGUCGUAACAAGGUACC